GUAGGGUGCGAGCGCUAAUCGGAAUUACUGGGCGUAAAGCGUGCGCAGGCGGCGCCGCAAGUCGAGUGUGAAAUCCCCGAGCUUAACUUGGGAAUUGCGCUCGAAACUACGGUGCUGGAGUGUGGCAGAGGGAGGUGGAAUUCCACGUGUAGCGGUGAAAUGCGUAGAGAUGUGGAGGAACACCGAUGGCGAAGGCAGCCUCCUGGGCCAACACUGACGCUCAUGCACGAAAGCGUGGGGAGCAAACAGGAUUAGAUACCCUGGUAGUCCCACGCCCUAAACGAUGAUGACUAGUUGUUGGGGGAGUUAAAUCCCUUAGUAACGCAGCUAACGCGUGAAGUCAUCCGCCUGGGGAGUACGGUCGCAAGAUUA
RNAcentral lists this ribosomal RNA (372 nucleotides) under uncultured organism. Its description in RNAcentral is "partial 16S ribosomal RNA". It matches the Rfam family "Bacterial small subunit ribosomal RNA", at positions 527 to 896 of the family's 1533-position model. The record is from RNAcentral.